RNAcentral lists this ribosomal RNA (424 nucleotides) under uncultured bacterium. RNAcentral's name for it is "bacterial SSU rRNA". It matches the Rfam family "Bacterial small subunit ribosomal RNA", at positions 954 to 1378 of the family's 1533-position model. The record is from RNAcentral.
GCUUAACGCGAAGAACCUUACCUGGCCUUGACAUCCAUGGAAUCCCGAAGAGAUUUGGGAGUGCCGCAAGGAACCAUGAGACAGGUGCUGCAUGGCUGUCGUCAGCUCGUGUCGUGAGAUGUUGGGUUAAGUCCCGCAACGAGCGCAACCCUUGUCCUUAGUUGCCAUCAUUAAGUUGGGAACUCUAAGGAGACCGCCGGUGACAAACCGGAGGAAGGUGGGGAUGACGUCAAGUCAUCAUGGCCUUUAUGGCCAGGGCUACACACGUGCUACAAUGGCAAGUACAGAGGGAAGCCAACCGGCGACGGGGAGCUAAUCCCAGAAAACUUGUCUUAGUCCGGAUUGCAGUCUGCAACUCGACUGCAUGAAGUUGGAAUCGCUAGUAAUCGCAGAUCAGCAUUGCUGCGGUGAAUACGUUCCCGGG